This 206-nucleotide unclassified non-coding RNA is filed under the name soil metagenome. RNAcentral describes it as "partial contains 5.8S ribosomal RNA, internal transcribed spacer 2, and large subunit ribosomal RNA". The record is from RNAcentral.
AACACUGUUAACCUGCGGUACCUGCGGAGGGAUCAUUACCGAGUUUACAACUCCCAAACCCCUGUGAACAUACCUAUACGUUGCCUCGGCGGAUCAGCCCGCGCCCCGUAAAAAGGGACGGCCCGCCCGAGGACCCCUAAACUCUGUUUUUAGUGGAACUUCUGAGUAAAACAAACAAAUAAAUCAAAACUUUCAACAAUGGAUCU